Molecule: long non-coding RNA, 944 nt
Organism: Hirundo rustica (Barn swallow)
Lineage: Eukaryota; Metazoa; Chordata; Aves; Passeriformes; Hirundinidae
Exons: 3
Source: RefSeq, a predicted model, not a curated record
AAAUUAACAUAUCUCAGCAGUCAGAAGUCAUUAAGCUUUGCCAGUGAUUUGAAACCAUUUUUCCAUUUCAAAAGCAACACUGGCUGUUACUUAUUUUUCUGGAUGAAGAAGGUGGCCACAAGUGGAUUAAGUACUGGAGUAAAGAAAUGUGCUGUUGCGCUUCUCAAAGAUCACUUCUGAUACGGUCUGUUCAGAUGCAGAAGGCUGGAAAAACACCUCAGAUCUGAAAGUAUCAUGAUCCAAAAAAUUACAAGCAAACAGAAAAAAUAUUGGUUUUAAUACAGGAUCAUGGGACAGUUGAGGCUGGAAGGAACCUCUGAAGACCACCUAGCCCAGCCCAACUCUUGACUGUCCAGCUGGCUUUUAAGUAGUUCCUUAGAGAGUCUCCACUGCCUCUCCUCAACACCCUCACUGUUAAAAAGUCUUCUCAUAUGUUCUAACAUAAUUUCCUGUAUUUCAGUUCCUGUCCAUGUCCUCCUGUCUUUUCACUAUUCUUUUUCCCGACCCAUUACAUUAUUCUCUGUCUAUGGUCUAAUCCAUUUGACAACAAACCAUGUCAUCCUGCACUGAAGAAACAGAACAGGUCUGCAAAGCCCCCUCACAUCACACAAGGUUACCCUGUAUUGCAGAGGUCUAUUUUUGCGGUCACAAGUCAUAAAACAUUUUUCAAAACCUACAAGCUAAUUUCAUGGGGAAAACCAAGUGGGACAAUGCCUUAAGAGAUCACUUUGGAAGGCAUACACCAGCUUGUGGAAGUCUGUUUUGUGCUCUACCUACUUUCUAUGUAACCCUGCACAUUUGGACUGAACUAAACUGAUACAGAUGCUGCUUCAACACUCGUUUGAAAGGUGGAGAGUCUGCAGGAGCACCAUAUCCCAUCACAUCCUUACAUCGAGGUAAGGAAGACAACAAUGGAAGCACAGCCAAUCUGAAAAUCAAUAAAU